Molecule: long non-coding RNA, 833 nt
Organism: Meriones unguiculatus (Mongolian gerbil)
Lineage: Eukaryota; Metazoa; Chordata; Mammalia; Rodentia; Muridae
Exons: 2
Source: RefSeq, a predicted model, not a curated record
GGCUAGAGCUCAAACCUUUGGAGUUAGGACUCGGACGUGAACUUGUGGCUGAGCAGGCCCGGUGUUAGAGAUGGCUUCGGCUGCACGCCCAGCGAAGGGUUUCCCGGAGAAGGGAGCUCGGCGGUCUGGCCUCAGGCCGGCCGCCCUGGAACUUUAAAGCAGCUCUCAGAAUCCGCUGGCUUCCAGGAUUCUGAGCCUCACCUCUCCCGGUGUCAGAAUUCCUGCACUAGGUCAGUGAUUCGCUCAGUCCUCAGCAGAGAUGAGAUGCCUCUUGAAGUCGAUGAAAAGAACACAGAGACCUUCUACUGGGCAAUGCUUAAGAGUGAGAGACCUUGAAGCAGGAGACCUAAAUGGAAUGUCUUCAUUCAAGUGUUCCCCUCAGGGCUCAAGGAAGUAGGUGGAAGAGGAAGCAGAAACAUUUUAAGAGCCAAAGGUGAUGGAUCAAUCCAAGGAAGCAGUGUCUUACAUAAGACACAACAGGACUGAUGCAUGUAUGAAUGCAGAGACCAUGGCAGCAUGCACAAGGCCUGCACAGGUUCAGCCCAAACAAGCUACCAUCCCUGAGAGGGGGAAGUAGACAUAAGCUCUCAUCCAUAAUUAAGAAGCAAUGUAUACUUUUUACCUUCUGGCAAAGGGAAAAUCAGUUUUCUUCAAUGGAGUGUCAUUUGGUAUAAGUGAGUAUACAGACUAAAGACACCUUAGGGCAGGGUCCAUGGUCAGAAGUAAGGAUGUGAGGAGGACUGGGGAUGAAUUGGAGGAGAAAGAAAAAAAAUGAUCAGAAAAUGUUGCAUGAAGUUUUUGAAAAACAGUUAAAAAUAAAAACAAACAAACAU